This 253-nucleotide ribosomal RNA is filed under the name uncultured bacterium. RNAcentral's name for it is "partial 16S ribosomal RNA". It matches the Rfam family "Bacterial small subunit ribosomal RNA", at positions 524 to 776 of the family's 1533-position model. The record is from RNAcentral.
UACGUAGGGUGCAAGCGUUAAUCGGAAUUACUGGGCGUAAAGCGUGCGCAGGCGGUUUCGUAAGUCUGUCGUGAAAUCCCCGGGCUUAACCUGGGAAUGGCGAUGGAGACUGCAAGGCUAGAGUUUGGCAGAGGGGGGUAGAAUUCCACGUGUAGCAGUGAAAUGCGUAGAGAUGUGGAGGAACACCGAUGGCGAAGGCAGCCCCCCGGGUCAAAACUGACGCUCAUGCACGAAAGCGUGGGGAGCAAACAGG